GGGCCCGCACAAGCGGUGGAGCAUGUGGUUCAAUUCGAAGCAACGCGAAGAACCUUACCAACCUUUGACAUGCCUCGUAUGGUCGCUGGAGACAGCUUCCUUCCCGCAAGGGGCGAGAGCACAGGUGCUGCAUGGCUGUCGUCAGCUCGUGUCGUGAGAUGUUGGGUUAAGUCCCGCAACGAGCGCAACCCUCGGCCUUAGUUGCCAUCAUUCAGUUGGGCACUCUAAGGCGACUGCCGGUGAUAAGCCGGAGGAAGGUGGGGAUGACGUCAAGUCCUCAUGGCCCUUACAGGUUGGGCUACACACGUGCUACAAUGGCGGUGACAGUGGGAAGCAAUGGAGCAAUCCUGCGCAAAUCUCAAAAAGCCGUCUCAGUUCGGAUUGUGCUCUGCAACUCGAGCACAUGAAGUUGGAAUCGCUAGUAAUCGCAGAUCAGCACGCUGCGGUGAAUACGUUCCCGGGCCUU
This 466-nucleotide ribosomal RNA is filed under the name uncultured bacterium. RNAcentral describes it as "bacterial SSU rRNA". It matches the Rfam family "Bacterial small subunit ribosomal RNA", at positions 917 to 1382 of the family's 1533-position model. The record is from RNAcentral.